Clostridium tetanomorphum DSM 665 is the source of this 116-nucleotide non-coding RNA. Lineage: Bacteria; Bacillati; Bacillota; Clostridia; Eubacteriales; Clostridiaceae. The record is from Rfam.
UCUGUUAAGAAGAAACUAGCCGUUUCUCACCUUACAGCAUUGCUAGUAAGGUUAGAUUGGGAAUAUACUUAUUGUAGUGUAUAUUGAGGACGGCUUUGCCGUCCUUUUUUUAUUGA